This 174-nucleotide non-coding RNA is filed under the name uncultured Anaerofilum sp. RNAcentral describes it as "Lysine riboswitch". It matches the Rfam family "Lysine riboswitch aptamer". From Rfam's summary of the family: Riboswitches are metabolite binding domains within certain messenger RNAs that serve as precision sensors for their corresponding targets. Lineage: Bacteria; Bacillati; Bacillota; Clostridia; Eubacteriales; Oscillospiraceae. The record is from RNAcentral.
ACAGAGGUUGCGGAUCGCAUCAGUAUUCGUCCCGCAAGGCCGCCGAUCCAUAUGAGCGGGAAGAAAAAAGGGCCAUUCGCCGAAAGCCUGUUUGUUCGGCAAGCGAGCAGGCUUGGACGCAUGCUUCGAAAGGGCUGCGACUGUCACACGGCCCCGGGCGGUGUGGUGCGCUGU